ACAUUGUCAGUUAUAGGGUAAGGACUUAUAUCAGUAUUAAAUAUUGAAGUGCCACCUACCUCUCAGGCAUGGCCCUGUUUACCCUAAUCAUAAUUAACUUUCAAACUCUGUGUCCAGUGAGCUCCUUCAUGACACUUGCAAUCUCAACCAGAUGUAACCAACCACUUCCAUAUGAAGACUCCUCCAUGCCCUCCAUAUCUUUUGUGGUAUUAGUAUAUAAAGUUGGCAGAUCAACGCUUCCCUUUAGAGCAUACUACUGUCAGAACUGCAAGAUGUGAAUGAAGAUCUUAUGGCUUAGAUUGUCUCUCUGUAAGAAAUGUCUCCUAAACAAAGUAAAGUGUCCUGGCUUUUCUCUCCCCACCUCCUUUCAUAAUGGCCCAGUAGAAAAAAUCAUCCACUGAGUUUGAAGCAUAGAAGAAAAUAGCUGGUAAGGCUCUCUGCCAACCAUUCUGACUCUGUUUCCUUAGAUGCUCCCAGGAUACUUAAUGUGAAUAGUCUGUUAAUAUUGCUGUAAAGUAUUGUAUGAAGACAGACAUGUCAUUUUAUUAGACUCCAUCAAUCUAUAAUAUAUUAGACUGAUUCUUUAUCUCAAAUGCGAUGAGUUUGUAUAAUAUAUCUUGACAAAUUUUAUUACCGUGUUAUGUAACAAAUGUGUAUUUUUGUACCUUGCAGAAACUGCUGCUAACUUUUAAAUUGUUUGGUUUUUCAAGGCACUGAAAAUGGACAUGUACCAAGUCCAUGCUGUCAAAUAAAAUGCCACCCUGCAGCUAACAGUCCCACAGAGAAAUACUGACUGCCGAGGAGAGUUCUUUCACUCAGCAAGCCUGAGCUCCCUUUGAGUUGACCAUUUCAUACAUAAUGAGUUGUGGCCUUAAGUUUUUACUCAUAGUUUUUCUAGGGGAAAAGGAGUGAAAUUGUUUUUCCUUUUUAUAUUUUUAAAUCUCGUUUAUCAAACAAGUUAUGUUUUAUACCUAGCCGUUCCCCUUUUGUCAGAAAUUGUGUUUUUUCAUUGUAUUCCCGGAGUGAUGCAGACAAGUUUGUCCACAUGCCAAAAGAAAUAACAGCUCACUUUGAUUGCAUGUAUGAGAUUUUCUUUCACAUUUAGGCCAUUCUGACAAAAGGACCAAGUUGACUUUCUACACAUACCAGGAUAUCUGUUCUUUGAUGUAUGACAGUUUCCCAAGACUACUGUAUCUCCUGACUUCUUGAGGUUUAUCAAGCAGUCUCUGUAUAAAUCUAACUACUAUUUCAAAGGGAUUUAUAACCUAGAAAAACUAGAUUUGCUCCAGCCAGGUGGAAAGGACAAAUCCACUUUGACAAAUGUUACUAAUUGUAUUUCUACAAUGUAUAAACACACACACACACACACACACACACACUAAAUUCUAUCCAAAUUUUAGAGAAACAAAUUUACUUUUAAUGAGGACUCGAUCUUAUGUUAAUAACUAUCUUCUUUAUAGUCUACUUAGCAGGUCAUAACACUGAAUCAGAAGGUUCUAAUUUGUCAACUCAAGAACAAGCUUUUUUUUUUAAUUACUCCCAGUAAAUUUUAUACUGUGAAUAAUAAAUUUGGGUAAAGC
Molecule: long non-coding RNA, 1580 nt
Filed under: Mus musculus (house mouse)
Lineage: Eukaryota; Metazoa; Chordata; Mammalia; Rodentia; Muridae
Description: long non-coding RNA chr9:51852275-51853855
Source: RNAcentral